AUUGAACGCUGGCGGCAGGCCUAACACAUGCAAGUCGAACGAGUGGCGGACGGGUGAGUAAUGUCUGGGAAACUGCCUGAUGGAGGGGUAUAACUACUGGAAACGGUAGCUAAUACCGCAUACCAUCAGAUGUUCCCAGAUGGGGUUAGCUAGUUGGUGGGGUAACGGCUAACCAAGGCGACGAUCCCUAGCUGGUCUGAGAGGAUGACCAGCCACAAGUGGACGGAGACGCGGUCCAGACGCCUACGGGAGGCAGCAGUGGGGAAUAUUGCACAAUGGGCGCAAGCCUGAUGCAGCCAUGCCGCGUGUAUGAAGAAGGCCUUCGGGUUGUAAAGUACUUUCAGCGGGGAGGCGUUACCCGAAGAAGAAGCACCGGCUAACUCCGUGCCAGCAGCCGCGGUAAUAC
RNAcentral lists this ribosomal RNA (406 nucleotides) under uncultured bacterium. Its description in RNAcentral is "partial 16S ribosomal RNA". It matches the Rfam family "Bacterial small subunit ribosomal RNA", at positions 30 to 526 of the family's 1533-position model. The record is from RNAcentral.